This 507-nucleotide ribosomal RNA is filed under the name uncultured bacterium. RNAcentral describes it as "partial 16S ribosomal RNA". It matches the Rfam family "Bacterial small subunit ribosomal RNA", at positions 28 to 507 of the family's 1533-position model. The record is from RNAcentral.
GACGAACGCUGGCGGCGUGCCUAAUACAUGCAAGUCGAACGCUUCUUUCCUCCCGAGUGCUUGCACUCCAUUGGAAAGAGGAGUGGCGGACGGGUGAGUAACACGUGGGUAACCUACCCAUCAGAGGGGGAUAACACUUGGAAACAGGUGCUAAUACCGCAUAACAGUUUAUGCCGCAUGGCAUAAGAGUGAAAGGCGCUUUCGGGUGUCGUUGAUGGAUGGACCCGCGGUGCAUUAGCUAGUUGGUGAGGUAACGGCUCACCAAGGCCACGAUGCAUAGCCGACCUGGGAGGGUGAUCGGCCACACUGGGACUGAGACACGGCCCAGACUCCUACGGAGGCAGCAGUAGGGAAUCUUCGGCAAUGGACGAAAGUCUGACCGAGCAACGCCGCGUGAGUGAAGAAGGUUUUCGGAUCGUAAAACUCUGUUGUUAGAGAAGAACAAGGACGUUAGUAACUGAACGUCCCCUGACGGUAUCUAACCAGAAAGCCACGGCUAACUACGUG